GAUGAACGCUGGCGGCGCGCCUAACACAUGCAAGUCGAACGGCACCCCUCCUCGGAGGGAAGCGCGUGGCGAACGGCUGAGUAACACGUGGAGAACCUGCCCCCUCCCCCGGGAUAGCCGCCCGAAAGGACGGGUAAUACCGGAUACCCCGGGGUGCCGCAUGGCACCCCGGCUAAAGCCCCGACGGGAGGGGAUGGCUCCGCGGCCCAUCAGGUAGACGGCGGGGUGACGGCCCACCGUGCCGACAACGGGUAGCCGGGUUGAGAGACCGACCGGCCAGAUUGGGACUGAGACACGGCCCAGACUCCUACGGGAGGCAGCAGUGGGGAAUCUUGCGCAAUGGGGGGAACCCUGACGCAGCGACGCCGCGUGCGGGACGGAGGCCUUCGGGUCGUAAACCGCUUUCAGCAGGGAAGAGUCAAGACUGUACCUGCAGAAGAAGCCCCGGCUAACUACGUG
RNAcentral lists this ribosomal RNA (459 nucleotides) under uncultured bacterium. RNAcentral's name for it is "partial 16S ribosomal RNA". It matches the Rfam family "Bacterial small subunit ribosomal RNA", at positions 28 to 507 of the family's 1533-position model. The record is from RNAcentral.